This 56-nucleotide ribosomal RNA is filed under the name Ficus concinna. RNAcentral describes it as "partial 28S ribosomal RNA". RNAcentral also lists the same sequence under 9 other names. The record is from RNAcentral. Lineage: Eukaryota; Viridiplantae; Streptophyta; Magnoliopsida; Rosales; Moraceae.
CAACGCGACCCCAGGUCAGGCGGGGCUACCCGCUGAGUUUAAGCAUAUCAAUAAGC